This 72-nucleotide transfer RNA is filed under the name Camelus bactrianus (Bactrian camel). It matches the Rfam family "tRNA". Rfam says of the family: Transfer RNA (tRNA) molecules are approximately 80 nucleotides in length. Their secondary structure includes four short double-helical elements and three loops (D, anti-codon, and T loops). Further hydrogen bonds mediate the characteristic L-shaped molecular structure. tRNAs have two regions of fundamental functional importance: the anti-codon, which is responsible for specific mRNA codon recognition, and the 3' end, to which the tRNAs corresponding amino acid is attached (by aminoacyl-tRNA synthetases). tRNAs cope with the degeneracy of the genetic code in two manners: having more than one tRNA (with a specific anti-codon) for a particular amino acid; and 'wobble' base-pairing, i.e. permitting non-standard base-pairing at the 3rd anti-codon position. Lineage: Eukaryota; Metazoa; Chordata; Mammalia; Artiodactyla; Camelidae. RNAcentral also lists the same sequence under 1 other name. The record is from Rfam by way of RNAcentral.
GAAGGUAUAGCUCAGUGAUAGAGCAUAUGCCUAGCGUGCACAAGGUCCUGGGUUCAAACUCCAGUACCUCCU